GAUGAACGCUGACAGAAUGCUUAACACAUGCAAGUCUAACGCGAAGCUGUGCUUGCACUGCCUAGCCACGGCGGCCGGGUGGGUAACGCGUCAUGAACUUGCCCUCCCUUCAGGGAGAACAGACGGAAACGACUGAUACUACCAGGUGAAGUCAGGCGGACUCAUGUCCAGCCUGAUGGAAAGAGGUGCUGCAGGGGAGCCUUGCGUCCUAUUAGCUUGUUGGUGGGGUAACGGCCCACCAAGGCGAUGAUAGGUAGGCGGCCGGAGGGGGCGGGCGGCCAUAAGGGUACUGAGCUACGGACCCUACUCCUGCGGGAAGCAGCAGGGGAGAAUAUUGGACAAUGGGGGCAACCAUGCAGCAGCGCUGCGGUGGGGAUGAUGGACGUUUUCUGAUAGUAAAGUGCUUGCAGCAAGGAAGAGAAAAUGACGGUACCUGCAGAAGAAGCGACGGCUAACUACGUG
RNAcentral lists this ribosomal RNA (462 nucleotides) under uncultured bacterium. RNAcentral's name for it is "partial 16S ribosomal RNA". It matches the Rfam family "Bacterial small subunit ribosomal RNA", at positions 28 to 507 of the family's 1533-position model. The record is from RNAcentral.